This 467-nucleotide ribosomal RNA is filed under the name uncultured bacterium. RNAcentral's name for it is "partial 16S ribosomal RNA". It matches the Rfam family "Bacterial small subunit ribosomal RNA", at positions 29 to 507 of the family's 1533-position model. The record is from RNAcentral.
ACGCACGCUGGCGGCGUGCUUAACACAUUCCAGUCGAACGGAAAGGCCCUGCUUUUGUGGGGUGCUCGAGUGGCGAACGGGUGAGUAACACGUGAGUAACCUGCCCUUGACUUUGGGAUAACUUCAGGAAACUGGGGCUAAUACCGGAUAGGAGCUCCUGCUGCAUGGUGGGGGUUGGAAAGUUUCGGCGGUUGGGGAUGGACUCGCGGCUUAUCAGCUUGUUGGUGGGGUAGUGGCUUACCAAGGCUUUGACGGGUAGCCGGCCUGAGAGGGUGACCGGCCACAUUGGGACUGAGAUACGGCCCAGACUCCUACGGGAGGCAGCAGUGGGGAAUAUUGCACAAUGGGCGGAAGCCUGAUGCAGCAACGCCGCGUGCGGGAUGACGGCCUUCGGGUUGUAAACCGCUUUCGCCUGUGACGAAGCGUGAGUGACGGUAAUGGGUAAAGAAGCACCGGCUAACUACGUG